This 523-nucleotide ribosomal RNA is filed under the name uncultured bacterium. RNAcentral describes it as "partial 16S ribosomal RNA". It matches the Rfam family "Bacterial small subunit ribosomal RNA", at positions 28 to 523 of the family's 1533-position model. The record is from RNAcentral.
GACGAACGCUGGCGGCGUGCCUAAUACAUGCAAGUCGAACGAAGCUGUUUUAACUGGUGCUUGCACCGACUUAAACAACUGAGUGGCGAACGGGUGAGUAACACGUGGGUAACCUGCCCCAAAGCGGGGGAUAACAUUUGGAAACAGAUGCUAAUACCGCAUAACCACAGAAACCACAUGGUUUCUGUGUCAAAGAUGGUUUCGGCUAUCACGUUGGGAUGGACCCGCGGCGUAUUAGCUAGUUGGUAAGGUAAUGGCUUACCAAGGCAAUGAUACGUAGCCGAACUGAGAGGUUGAUCGGCCACAUUGGGACUGAGACACGGCCCAAACUCCUACGGGAGGCAGCAGUAGGGAAUCUUCCACAAUGGACAAGGUCUGAUGGAGCAACGCCGCGUGAGUGAAGAAGGUUUUCGGAUCGUAAAACUCUGUUGUCAGAGAAGAACGUGUGCGAGAGUAACUGUUCGUGCAGUGACGGUAUCUGGCCAGAAAGCCACGGCUAACUACGUGCCAGCAGCCGCGGUAA